UGGGAAUAUAGUUAAGUGGUAGAAUGUUUGCUUAGCAUGCAGAAGGCCUUAGAUUCAAUUGCAGGAGGCCCUAGGUUCAAUUCCUACUGCCUAA
Molecule: transfer RNA, 94 nt
Filed under: Marmota monax (woodchuck)
Lineage: Eukaryota; Metazoa; Chordata; Mammalia; Rodentia; Sciuridae
Description: tRNA.Ala
Source: RNAcentral